Molecule: non-coding RNA, 765 nt
Organism: Podarcis muralis (Common wall lizard)
Lineage: Eukaryota; Metazoa; Chordata; Lepidosauria; Squamata; Lacertidae
Source: RefSeq, a predicted model, not a curated record
GCACGUGCACCACAGCAAAUUGUCUCCACAUCCAUAUAAAUAGAGGGAAACAUCCUGAUCUUAUCCAGAUUUUGAUCCGGGUCGGCUGUGGAGAGGCUUCCUUCCAGCAACCUUGAGUGUUCAGAGAAAACUUCAGCCAUGGGACUUCCUUACCUUCUCUUCGCUUUGGUUGCUCUCCUCUUUCACACAUCUGCUGUGCCACCUGAGGAGAUGUGUGAAGACCGGAGGGGCUACUGCCAACCUUCAUCAGACAAAGACUGUGAUGAUGACGAUGUCCUUCCAUUACCAUGCUCUCAUGUUAAUGAGACAUGCUGCAAAUUACCACCACGGUUAAAAUGUGAAGAUCUGGGGGGCAUGUGCAUGAAUCCACCUGAUGACACCUGCCUUUCUGUUAUAUCAGCAAGAUGUGACGGGGAUGACAUGAAAUGUUGCAAAAAAGAUUGAAGCUGAAGUGACAGUAUCAAGUGUCAAUGUCCCCUCCUCCUUUUUCUCUGAUUAUUAUUUUUUAAUUGCCAGUGAAGAAUGUCUGCUUGCGAUACACAAGGAUAAAUGAGCAUGACUAAUGGAUCAGCUCUAACGCCGAUUAAAACACAGAUUAGAAAUCCUACUUUAAAAUAAAAACAAAGAUGAAGGCUUAUUAUUUCAUACUGAAUACAAAUUCAGGCAUAAGAAAGGCACAGAAUCACAGAACUGUAGAGUUGCAAGGGAUCCCAGACAUCAUCUAUCCCACCCCCUGCAACGCAGGUAUCUCAGCUAAAGCAUCCA